UAUCACUAAGCGGAGGAAAAGAAACUAACCAGGAUUCCCUCAGUAGCGGCGAGUGAAGCGGGAAGAGCCCAUCGCUGAAUCCCAGGUUCCGACCGGCUCCCGGGAGUUGUGGCGUGAGGCGGCUUCGGGCGGGCGAGUCCACGACGCCGAGGUCCUCCUGAUCGGGGCACCUUACCCAGAGCGGGUGUCAGGCCCGUUCGGGCGUCGGGUCUCGCUGGCCUGGAGCCACCAAGAGUCGGGUAGUUUUGGAAUGCUGCCCAAAGAGGGGUGGUGAACUCCAUCCAAGGCUAAAUACUGGCACGAGACCGAUAGCAGACAAGUACCGUGAGGGAAAGUUGAAAAGAACUCUGAAGAGAGAGUUCAAGAGGACGUGAAACCGCCAAGAAGCAAACGGGCAGGACCCGCGGCACGGGCCCGUGGAGAUUCAGCGCAUCGGUUGUCGUCCCGGCCAGGUUUUUCGGAUCCGCAAGGACCGUGCCUGGUCGGGCGGCGGCGGUCGAUGCGUGCACUUCUCCCGGGCGCGGCGCUCGGGACCGGCAGCCCAGGUCGGCCGAAGGCGCCGGUGCAGGUAGCUCCACCAUCCGGGUCCUUCGGGGCCCGGUGGAGAACUAAUAGCACCGGCUUUGCAACGCCGGCCGAGCUGCCGAGGAAGGGACGCGAGCCGCGCCCGCCCCGUUCGCGGGGCUGCGCCUCCCGUCCCCCGCAGGCCUCCCCAGCGUUCACUGUACUCAGUGGUCGUCGAGGGACGGCAGGCGGUGGGAGCGGAGAGGCGGCACGUGGCGCCUCGGGUCGCCGAGCGAAGCUGGGCGCCUGCUCGACCCGUCUUGAAACACGGACCAAGGAGUCUAACGGGCCCGCGAGUCAAGGGGCCACUCGAAACCCCACGGCGCAAUGAAGGUGAAGGUCGAUUCGGUCGACCGAGGUGGGAUCCCCCCUUUCGCGGGGGGCGCACCACCGCCCCGCCAUAUCCGCACUGCUCGGUGUGGCGGAGGCAGAGCGGGCACGCUAGGACCCGAAAGAUGGUGAACUAUGCCCGAGCAGGAUGAAGCCAGAGGAAACUCUGGUGGAGGUCCGCAGCGAUUCUGACGUGCAAAUCGAUCGUCCGACUUGGGUAUAGGGGCGAAAGACUAAUCGAACCAUCUAGUAGCUGGUUCCCUCCGAAGUUUCCCUCAGGAUAGCUGGCGCUCAAUGCAGUUUUAUCUGGUAAAGCGAAUGAUUAGAGGCCCUUGAG
This 1231-nucleotide ribosomal RNA is filed under the name Fellaster zelandiae. RNAcentral's name for it is "eukaryotic LSU rRNA". It matches the Rfam family "Eukaryotic large subunit ribosomal RNA", at positions 41 to 1035 of the family's 3401-position model. Lineage: Eukaryota; Metazoa; Echinodermata; Echinoidea; Clypeasteroida; Arachnoididae. The record is from RNAcentral.